This 449-nucleotide ribosomal RNA is filed under the name uncultured bacterium. RNAcentral describes it as "partial 16S ribosomal RNA". It matches the Rfam family "Bacterial small subunit ribosomal RNA", at positions 338 to 784 of the family's 1533-position model. The record is from RNAcentral.
CCUACGGGUGACAGCAGUGAGGAAUAUUGGUCAAUGGGCGCGAGCCUGAACCAGCCAAGUAGCGUGAAGGAUGACUGCCCUACGGGUUGUAAACUUCUUUUAUAAAGGAAUAAAGUGAGGCACGUGUGCCUUUUUGUAUGUACUUUAUGAAUAAGGAUCGGCUAACUCCGUGCCAGCAGCCGCGGUAAUACGGAGGAUCCGAGCGUUAUCCGGAUUUAUUGGGUUUAAAGGGAGCGUAGAUGGGUUGUUAAGUCAGUUGUGAAAGUUUGCGGCUCAACCGUAAAAUUGCAAUUGAUACUGGCAGCAUUGAGUACAGUUGAGGUAGGCGGAAUUCGUGGUGGAGCGGUGAAAGGCUUAGAUAUCACGAAGAACUCCGAUUGCGAAGGCAGACUACUAAACUGCCACUGACAUUGAUGCUCGAAAGUGCGGGGAUCGAACAGGAUUAGAGA